This 400-nucleotide ribosomal RNA is filed under the name phytoplankton environmental sample. RNAcentral describes it as "partial small subunit ribosomal RNA". It matches the Rfam family "Eukaryotic small subunit ribosomal RNA", at positions 566 to 956 of the family's 1831-position model. The record is from RNAcentral.
GCGCAGCCGCGGUAAUUCCAGCUCCAAUAGCGUAUAUUAAAGUUGCUGCAGUUAAAAAGCUCGUAGUUGGAUUUGUGGCGCGGCCGUCCGGCGGGGGUCCUUCUAUGGUCUCGUUUGUCCUGGUUUUCGGCCGCUCCUUUCUCGGGUAGAGCGUAAUGGCUGGCAUUAGGUUGUCGGCCGCUUCGCGCCCGUCGUUUACUGUGAAAAAAUUAGAGUGUUCAAAGCAGGCUUAGGCCGUUGGAUACAUUAGCAUGGAAUAAUGAGAUAGGGCCACGGCGGUCUAUUUUGUUGGUUUGCACGUUGUGGUAAUGAUUAACAGGAACGGUUGGGGGUAUUCGUAUUCAAUUGUCAGAGGUGAAAUUCUUGGAUUUGUGGAAGACGAACUACUGCGAAAGCAUUU